AGCGGCCUACCAACGCGAUGAUCGGUAGCAGUUCGUGAGAGGGCACACGGCCACACUCAGCACUGAAACACGGGCCAGACUCCUACGGGAGGCAGCAGUGGGCGAAUAUUGGACAAUGAGCGCAAGCGUGAUCCAGCCAUGCCGCGUGGGUGAUGAAGGCCCUAGGGUUGUAAAGCCCUUUCGAUGAUGACGAUAAUGACGGUACCUAGAGAAGAAGCCCCGGCCAACUUCGUGCCAGCAGCCGCGGUAAUACCAGGGGGGCGAGCGUUGUUCGGAAUUAUUGGGCGUAAAGGGUGCGUAGGCGGUUUGGUAAGUCUUGUGUGAAAUCUUCGGGCUCAACCAGAAGUCUGCAUGAUAAACUGCCGCGAUUGAGUGUGGGAGAGGUGAGUGGAAUUCCCGGCGUAGCGGUGAAAAG
RNAcentral lists this ribosomal RNA (415 nucleotides) under uncultured soil bacterium. Its description in RNAcentral is "bacterial SSU rRNA". It matches the Rfam family "Bacterial small subunit ribosomal RNA", at positions 259 to 688 of the family's 1533-position model. The record is from RNAcentral.